UACGGGGGGGGCAAGCGUUGUUCGGAAUUACUGGGCGUAAAGGGCUCGUAGGCGGCCAACUAAGUCAUACGUGAAAUCCCUCGGCUUAACCGGGGAACUGCGUCUGAUACUGGAUGGCUUGAGUUCGGGAGAGGGAUGCGGAAUUCCAGGUGUAGCGGUGAAAUGCGUAGAUAUCGGGAAGAACACCCGUGGCGAAGGCGGUUCUCUGGGCCUGUACUGACGCUGAGGAGCGAAAGCGUGGGGAGCGAACAGG
Molecule: ribosomal RNA, 253 nt
Filed under: uncultured bacterium
Lineage: Bacteria
Description: partial 16S ribosomal RNA
Rfam family: Bacterial small subunit ribosomal RNA
Source: RNAcentral